Non-coding RNA from Prunus avium (sweet cherry), 996 nucleotides. The record is from RefSeq and is a predicted model, not a curated record. Lineage: Eukaryota; Viridiplantae; Streptophyta; Magnoliopsida; Rosales; Rosaceae.
GGUGGGUGAGAUGGGUGAGGCUUGUGAUAGAUGGAUGGAUGACACCAGUUAAGCCUCUCCUAGGCAGCCAUAGCCUGAUGACAUGUUGAUCAUGAUCAUAAUCUUGGUGGUGGCAACUUAUUCCUUCCCAUGAGCAACAGUCAGAGGAAGCAGACCAAUUCAAUGGCGGCGAUACUUUAAAAUCCAAUGACAAGAGAGAUUCACUGUCCACUCUGUUACAGGCAGAGGCUCCAAAGCAGGGCAGCAGAAUCAGAAGAAAUAAUUGCCCCCAAAAGAGAAGAAACUGUGUUCUUGGUCUUUGGCUCGGUGUUCCUGUGAGCUCCUCCUUCUCGUCCUUGGUGGUCUCUUUGUUUUCUUUCAUGGCGUUAAUCAGCCCCUGAUGGAAUCAUAAUCAUUGAAUGUUGGUACAAGAAAACCCAGAGUUCCUAUUCUGAAUCCCCACUAAAUUUUGCUCUAAAUAUGCACCGCUUCCCAAUAUGUUGUAAUAUUAAUGCCACAAACCCCAUAAGAAAAUCAAACAAGAGGUUCUCAAUACUUAAAAAGGUGUAUCAGUAAGAUCUUUGAGGAGCUGGUAAUUCUGGAUGAGGGCAAGAGAGAUGCAUAGUUGGAGGGCCGCAUAAUCUUGGAUUCCCUUCAAAGCUGGAGAUGGUAAAAUUUAGAAACUGGCCUCCGGAUGGUACAGGUCCCUGAAGAUCAUUGUAUGCACACUGAAAGAAGAGAGCAAAUGCAAACUCUGGAAAGAACCAGGGAUUUGACCAGAUAGAUGGUUGUGAGAGAUAUUUAAUUUCUCUAAGUUGGUGAGGUUAGAAAUCUGAUCAGGGAUGUUGCCAGAGAAGUUGUUAGAGCUCAAGUCAAGGACCUGGAGAUUAGAGAGGGAGGAAAACAAGUCACUUGGGAGAAGACCAGUUAAGCCUCUUCCAGGAAGCCAUAGACCGACAACGCGUUGAUGACCAUCAUCUUGGCGGCAACUUAUGCCUUCCCAUGAGCAACAGUCAA